RNAcentral lists this ribosomal RNA (254 nucleotides) under uncultured bacterium. RNAcentral describes it as "partial 16S ribosomal RNA". It matches the Rfam family "Bacterial small subunit ribosomal RNA", at positions 524 to 776 of the family's 1533-position model. The record is from RNAcentral.
UACGGGGGGAGCAAGCGUUGUUCGGAUUUACUGGGCGUAAAGGGCGCGUAGGCGGCCACUGCAAGUCAGUUGUGAAAUCUCCGGGCUUAACCCGGAAAGGUCAACUGAUACUGCAGGGCUAGAGUGCAGAAGGGGCAACUGGAAUUCUCGGUGUAGCGGUGAAAUGCGUAGAUAUCGAGAGGAACACCAAUGGCGAAAGCAGCUCUCUGGGACGGUACUGACGCUGAGACGCGAAAGCGUGGGGAGCGAACAGG